CUUGGGGUUCAGCAGGCGAGAAAACUUUACAAUGAUGGAAACAUUGAUAAGGGGACACGGAGUGCCAGCAUCAUUUCCUGGCGGUCCAGGUGUGUAAAAUACACUUCUUAGCAAGGGUCGGGCUAGACCGGAGCCGGCCGUAGCGGUAACUCUGUCGGCUUGAGUGGUCAUCGUGAUUAUUGGGUAUAAAGGGUCGGUUGCAGGAGGGUCAGUCCUCCGGGAAAUGUUGAUAGGUGAAUUAUUAGGUUUUCGGAGGAUACCGCCAAACUCGUAACCGGGAGUGGUCAGAGGUACUACCGGGGUAGGAGUGAAAUCUUGUAAUACAUGGGGGGCCACAACAGGGGAAGGGGUCUUACCAGAACGGAUUCGAUGGUGAGGGAAGAAAUCCGGGGGCAUGAACGAGAUAGGAUACCCGGGUAGUCCCACCCGUGAAUGAUGCUCUCUAGGUUUCAGGCAUGGUGUGGCCGGGUUAGGAGCCGCAGUGAAGCGUUGAAACUAGCCACGUGCGAAGUACGGCCUCAAGGAUGAAAAGAAAGGAAUCGGCGGGCGAGCACAAGGGCGAUUCGCGG
This 569-nucleotide ribosomal RNA is filed under the name uncultured archaeon. RNAcentral describes it as "bacterial SSU rRNA". It matches the Rfam family "Archaeal small subunit ribosomal RNA", at positions 324 to 900 of the family's 1478-position model. The record is from RNAcentral.